AUGAAGAUCUGGACUUCGGAGCAUGUCUUUGACCACCCAUGGGAAACUGUUACCACAGCUGCAAUACAGGAAUACCCAAACCCUAUGAACCCUGGUGUGGUGGGAGUCGAUGUCUUGGACAGACAUACAGAUCCCUCCGGAAAGUUGCACAACCAUAGACUUCUGAGCACAGAGUGGGGACUGCCUUCCAUUGUGAAGUCUCUUAUUGGUGCAGCAAGAACCAAAACAUAUGUGCAAGAACAUUCUGUAGUUGAUCCUGUAGAGAAAACAAUGGAACUUAAAUCUACUAAUAUUUCAUUUACAAAUAUGGUUUCAGUAGAUGAGAGACUUAUAUACAAACCACAUCCCCAGGACCCAGAAAAAACUAUUUUGACUCAAGAAGCCAUAAUCAUUGUGAAAGGAGUCAGCCUUAGCAGUUACCUUGAAGGACUGAUGGCAAGUACCAUAUCUUCAAAUGCUAAUAAAGGCCGAGAAGCAAUGGAAUGGGUAAUACAUAAAUUAAAUGCUGAGAUUGAAGAACUGACGGCUUCAGCAAGAGGAAGCAUAAGGACUCCAAUGGCAGCAGCAGCGUUGUAUAAAAAUGAUAAUACCAGUUGGUAG
Molecule: non-coding RNA, 600 nt
Organism: Microcebus murinus (gray mouse lemur)
Lineage: Eukaryota; Metazoa; Chordata; Mammalia; Primates; Cheirogaleidae
Source: RefSeq, a predicted model, not a curated record